CCUACGGGAGGCAGCAGUGAGGAAUAUUGGUCAAUGGGCGGGAGCCUGAACCAGCCAAGUCGCGUGAGGGAAGACGGUCCUAUGGAUUGUAAACCUCUUUAGGCGGGGAGCAAUGCCGGGCACGCGUGCCCGGAGGGAGAGUACCAGCAGAAUAAGCAUCGGCCAACUCCGUGCCAGCAGCCGCGGUAAUACGGUGGAUGCGAGCGUUAUCCGGAUUUAUUGGGGUUAAAGGGAGCGUGGGCGGAUUUUUAAGUCAGCGGUAAAAUGUCCGGGCUCAACCCGGGCCGGCCGUUGAAACUGGUGAUCUUGAGUGGGCGAGAAGUAUGCGGAAUUCGUGGUGUAGCGGUGAAAUGCAUAGAGAUCACGCAGAACUCCGAUUGCGAAGGCAGCAUACCGGCGCCCGACUGACGCUGAAGCACGAAAGCGUGGGUAUCGAACAGGAUUAGAUACCCCAGUAGUC
Molecule: ribosomal RNA, 460 nt
Filed under: uncultured bacterium
Lineage: Bacteria
Description: partial 16S ribosomal RNA
Rfam family: Bacterial small subunit ribosomal RNA
Source: RNAcentral